Molecule: ribosomal RNA, 1203 nt
Filed under: metagenome
Description: bacterial SSU rRNA
Rfam family: Bacterial small subunit ribosomal RNA
Source: RNAcentral
GUGCAAUUGCACCGUCUGGGGAUGAGCCUGCGGUCCAUUAGGCAGUUGGCGGGGUAAGAGCCCACCAAACCGACGAUGGAUAGCCGGCCUGAGAGGGUGUACGGCCACACUGGAACUGAGACACGGUCCAGACUCCUACGGGAGGCAGCAGCUAAGAAUCUUCCGCAAUGGGGGAAACCCUGACGGAGCGACGCCGCGUGGAUGAUGAAGGCCGUAAGGUUGUAAAAUCCUUUUGUCGGUGAAGAAUAAGGAGAGGAGUGGAAAGCCUUUCUGAUGACGUUAGCCGACGAAUAAGCCCCGGCUAAUUACGUGCCAGCAGCCGCGGUAAUACGUAUGGGGCAAGCGUUGUUCGGAGUUAUUGGGCGUAAAGGGCGUGUAGGCGGCUCAUGAAGUCUGGUGUGAAAUCGCAAGGCCUAACCUUGCAUAUGCGCUGGAAACUGGUGGGCUUGAGUUCUUGAGGGGAAGCUGGAAUUCCAGGUGUAAGGGUGAAAUCUGUAGAUAUCUGGAAGAACACCGGUGGCGAAGGCGAGCUUCUAUCAGAGGACUGACGCUGAGGCGCGAAAGCGUGGGGAGCAAACAGGAUUAGAUACCCUGGUAGUCCACGCUGUAAACGAUGUGCACUAGGCGUGGGGCACGUACGUGCUCUGUGCCGUAGCUAACGUGUUAAGUGCACCGCCUGGGGAGUAUGCUCGCAAGGGUGAAACUCAAAGGAAUUUACGGGGGCCCGCACAAGCGGUGGAGCAUGUGGUUUAAUUCGAUCGUACACGAGGAACCUUACCAGGGCUUGACAUGUGCGUGAAUGUUCACGAGAGUGGGCAGCCCCGCAAGGGGCGCGCACACAGGUGCUGCAUGGCUGUCGUCAGCUCGUGUCGUGAGAUGUUGGGUUAAGUCCCGCAACGAGCGCAACCCUUACCGUCUGUUGCCAACAGGUUGUGCUGGGCACUCGGACGGAACUGCCGGUGACAAACCGGAGGAAGGUGGGGAUGACGUCAAGUCAUCAUGGCCCUUAUGUCCUGGGCUACACACGUGCUACAAUGGUCGGUACAAAGCGAAGCGAAACGGCGACGUGAAGCAAAUCGCAGAAAGCCGGUCUCAGUGCGGAUUGGAGUCUGAAACCCGACUCCAUGAAGUUGGAAUCGCUAGUAAUCGCGCAUCAGCAUGGCGCGGUGAAUACGUUCCCGGGCCUUGUACACACCGCCCGUC